RNAcentral lists this ribosomal RNA (254 nucleotides) under uncultured bacterium. Its description in RNAcentral is "partial 16S ribosomal RNA". It matches the Rfam family "Bacterial small subunit ribosomal RNA", at positions 524 to 776 of the family's 1533-position model. The record is from RNAcentral.
UACGGAGGGUGCAAGCGUUGUCCGGAAUCACUGGGCGUAAAGGGAGCGUAGGCGGGUUUUUAAGUCAGGUGUUUAAUCCCGGGGCCCAACCCCGGACAGGCACUUGAAACUGGGAAUCUUGAAUAGUGGAGAGGUCAGUGGAAUUGGGGGUGUAGCGGUGGAAUGCGUAGAGAUCCCCAAGAACACCCGUUGCGAAGGCGGCUGACUGGACACAUAUUGACGCUGAGGCUCGAAAGCAUGGGGGAGCAAACAGG